Molecule: ribosomal RNA, 540 nt
Filed under: uncultured Eurotiomycetes
Lineage: Eukaryota; Fungi; Ascomycota; Eurotiomycetes
Description: SSU rRNA
Rfam family: Eukaryotic small subunit ribosomal RNA
Source: RNAcentral
AGGGCAAGUCUGGUGCCAGCAGCCGCGGUAAUUCCAGCUCCAAUAGCGUAUAUUAAAGUUGUUGCAGUUAAAAAGCUCGUAGUUGAACCUUGGGUCUGGCUGGCCGGUCCGCCUCACCGCGAGUACUGGUCCGGCUGGACCUUUCCUUCUGGGGAACCUCAUGGCCUUCACUGGCUGUGGGGGGAACCAGGACUUUUACUGUGAAAAAAUUAGAGUGUUCAAAGCAGGCCUUUGCUCGAAUACAUUAGCAUGGAAUAAUAGAAUAGGACGUGCGGUUCUAUUUUGUUGGUUUCUAGGACCGCCGUAAUGAUUAAUAGGGAUAGUCGGGGGCGUCAGUAUUCAGCUGUCAGAGGUGAAAUUCUUGGAUUUGCUGAAGACUAACUACUGCGAAAGCAUUCGCCAAGGAUGUUUUCAUUAAUCAGGGAACGAGAGUUAGGGGAUCGAAGACGAUCAGAUACCGUCGUAGUCUUAACCAUAAACUAUGCCGACUAGGGAUCGGACGGGAUUCUAUAAUGACCCGUUCGGCACCUUACGGGAAAC